AAGUGGAGCAAUCCAUGAGUAAAGUGGCGCACGGGUGAGUAACACGUGACUAACCUACCCUCGAGUGGGAAUAACCUCGGGAAACCGGGGCUAACACCGCAUAAUAUCUACGGAUCAAAUGCGUAAGCAGCUUGAGGAGGGGGUCGCGGCUGAUUAGCUAGUUGGCGGGGUAAUGGCCCACCAAGGCAGUGAUCAGUAGCCGGCCUGAGAGGGCGCACGGCCACACUGGAACUGAAACACGGUCCAGACUCCUACGGGAGGCAGCAGUGGGGAAUUUUGCACAAUGGGGGAAACCCUGACGCAGCAACGCCGCGUGGAGGAUGACGCCCCUUGGG
Molecule: ribosomal RNA, 335 nt
Filed under: uncultured bacterium
Lineage: Bacteria
Description: bacterial SSU rRNA
Rfam family: Bacterial small subunit ribosomal RNA
Source: RNAcentral